UCAGCGGAGAAGGCGAGCGAACAUUUGCACCUGGUUCAAUGCAGACCCUUGUUCCCCGGGUCGGAAAGGAUGGAGCGAGGGUCGCCUCUUUAUCGUUGUCCAGAAUCAGAGGACAGUUCUGAGGCUCAGGAACAGGAGAAACAGUUUCAGAUCAGGUGGUGUGGAGUAAAUCACAUGGGUCACCUGCUCAAAAGACAUCUGCAGGAAUUUGAAGACAGGAACAAGCGUUCUGUUUUGCCCUUGGAGAGCUGCUGACAACAAACAGAGUGGAGCUGAGAAUCAGUGCCAUAAAACAGUAGGAUGCUAAACAAACCACACUUUCUCACCCCGGGCCCACUCCCUGGAUUCUGCUGCUUCUUAGACAAGAUUUCAUCCUUGGCGACGGAUCUAGACCUCAGCCUCCAAGAUCAGUUAAAGAAAUAAACAAGCCAGAGACAACAGCCAAAACAGCAACACAGAAACCAGGCACGGAGACGAAGCCACGCCUCUAAGGCAUCGGGCCAAUCAGAAGUCUGUUGCUGGGGCCCAGUGUUUGGCCGCCUGAAGUUCCCAUGGAGACGGAAGAACGUUACACACUAAACACUCGCGACGUUGACGUCUAUGCGUUAUAUCCUUGGAGACGACAGAGUAAACGUCAUUCCCCUCGUCUCCCCGCCCUACCUAAACGCCAGCCGCUUAAGGAGCAACGCUGGCGUCGCCGUCACAUGCUGCACGCGGGGCGGGAGGCCCAGUAGGCGGGGCCUGUUGCUAUGACUGCAACUGCGGCUGUUGAUAUUUGGGGCUGCAAUUAGAAAGUGCUGAGGCGGCAGUGGAGCCUGAAACGAUUCAGGAACGGCGGCUCCCGCCCCCGGGCCGGAGAGGUUUCCCCAGCCCUUGGAAAGCCAGGACACCCCCUAGGCUGUCCCAGCACGCCUGAGCCUCGGUCCGGUGCCAAGAUCUCUCUGUGCUCCUCGGGACUGCAGACUGAGAGCCAAACCUAGACCACUCCCUCCACCCUCAGUUGGCUGGCAUGGUCAGGGUGACCUCCCUAACCGCGUCUCCUCUAGACAGACCACAGAACAACCACUGACCAAACUACCUUGCCCAUGAGACGGAACGAAGCCCAGCUUAGAAAACUCCCUCUGUUAGAGUUAACCUCAGAAUCGAGGAGAAUCAGAAUUUGGCCCUUUUUUUUUUUCUUUAAAAGCAACAGAACUUAAGACAUUUUGUUCCUUAGAGUUUCCUGAAGGCUUGAGGGAGGGGUUCCUAACAACCUCACUCAAGAGCAUUGCCUCUCAAAGGAAGGGAAAAUUCAGAAAUCCCGGAGGACUGUGAUUCCCAAAAAUGGGAAGGCCUGAAAAACCUAGGUCAAUAGAAAGGCUGGUCUGCAUAUUGCUUAAUUCCGCUUAGACUACACAAGCCAGCCCAGUUUGAGAAAUCUCUGUGAGCCAGCCUCCUUUCUGUUCUCACAGCUUUGGAAACAGUUACAGUGAGACUGAAACAACAGCUUGUAAACAAAACUAGACCAAGGCGCAGAAAGGUAGAAAGAGUUGAAAUGUCCACUUACAGGCUGUCACUCUGAAUGAGUUUAAAUGAGACACCAUUGAGGGGCCCAGAGCUUUGAAUUUUCUCCAGAAAUCGCAGUCUGAAUUUAAAUCGUCUUGGAGGGGAAGGGCAGAGAGGAUAUUAUUUGCUUGAAUUAAAAAAAAAAAAAAACAGCCAGUGGGGCAAGUAUCCAUAGAAUGUGUUUCAGAGGAUGGAGACAUAAAGGAAUUCCUGAAAAUGAAUGGCAUUUGGGGUCGGCGCCCUCCAUUCCUCUACCAACACUUGUCCAACCCAAUUUUCCAUCUUGACAGACGCACCUCAGGUUCCUUGUUACACCCCAGUAGCCCUCGCUGAGCGCCCACCCAUGCCCACACCGCAGCAUCUGCCUGCAGAGUCUCCCCAUUCCCAUCCAGCGUUUCCCUGCUCCAUCCUCUGACCCACCCAUUACUCACUUCCCGGACUGCCUUCUCUAAACAGCUCUCCCUCUGCAGCUUCCCACUCCCUUCCCACUGCAGCCCAGGGACACUCCUCAAUCCUUGCCCCAUCUACUCAUCCCUGUCAUAAAGGUUUCCCAGUCUGUUCAUUAGUAGAAGAGAGGAGGCUUUUGGAAAUGCAGAGGGAGAACACUGAGUGGAACAAAGUCAAAUGCAACACUUAAAAUCCCCAACAGUAGUUGUGAUACGUACCACAUAUCCAAUCAUAAUGCAGAUUCUGCAUAUUAGAGGACUAUACAGAAAGCAAUCAUGUACUAAUUCUACCAUUUUCAGGAAACCAAUAACAGUUGCUCCUUUUUUUUUUUUUUUUUUUUCUGUCAACUAAUGGUCCAGCUGGAACUCUUUGAGAGUGUUGGCUACCACCUACGCUCCCAAAGUUCACCUGGCAUAUAAUGCAGGGAGAAAAUAAAACCUCAGUUCAGGUUAAGGGAAAAGCCUGCCUUGCGGGGUAGAUUAGAUUGUAUCAGUUUUGGGCAUGACAAUAAAUGGUUUAUAUUUUGUUUCAGA
This is a long non-coding RNA of Cavia porcellus (domestic guinea pig), 2525 nucleotides long. RefSeq lists it as uncharacterized. The transcript has 4 exons. NCBI's taxonomy places the organism in Eukaryota, Metazoa, Chordata, Mammalia, Rodentia, Caviidae. The record is from RefSeq and is a predicted model, not a curated record.